This 468-nucleotide ribosomal RNA is filed under the name uncultured bacterium. RNAcentral describes it as "partial 16S ribosomal RNA". It matches the Rfam family "Bacterial small subunit ribosomal RNA", at positions 28 to 507 of the family's 1533-position model. The record is from RNAcentral.
GACGAACGCUGGCGGCGUGCUUAACACAUGCAAGUCGAACGGAAAGGCCCUGCUUUUGUGGGGUGCUCGAGUGGCGAACGGGUGAGUAACACGUGAGUAACCUGCCCUUGACUUUGGGAUAACUUCAGGAAACUGGGGCUAAUACCGGAUAGGAGCUCCUGCUGCAUGGUGGGGGUUGGAAAGUUUCGGCGGUUGGGGAUGGACGCGCGGCUUAUCAGCUUGUUGGUCGGGUAGUGGCUUACCCAGGCUUUGACGGGUAGCCGGCCUGAGAGGGGGACCGGGGACAUUGGGACUGCGAGACGCCGCAGACUGCUACGGGAGGCAGUAGGGGGGAACAUGGCACAGCGGGCGCACGUCUGAUGCAGAGACGCCGGGGGCGGGAAGACCGUCUUCGGGUUGAGAACCGCUUCAGCCUGUGACGAAGCGUGAGUGACGGUAAUGGGUAAAGAAGCACCGGCUAACUACGUG